AGCGAACGCUGGCGGCAGGCCUAACACAUGCAAGUCGAACGAACUCUUCGGAGUUAGUGGCGGCCGGGUGAGCAACACGUGGUAACGUGCCUUUUGGUUCGGAAUAACUCAGGGAAACUUGUGCUAACACCGAAUGUGCCCUUCGGGGGAAAGAUUUCUCGCCAUUAGAGCGGCCCGCGUCUGAUUAGCUAGUUGGUGAGGUAACUGCUCACCAAGGCGACGAUCAGUAGCUGGUCUGAGAGGAUGACCAGCCACACUGGGACUGAGACACGGCACAGACUCCUACGGGAGGCAGCAGUGGGGAAUCUUGCGCAAUGGGCGCAAGCCUGACGCAGCCAUGCCGCGUGAAUGAUGCAGGUCUUAGGAUUGUAAAAUUCUUUCACCGGGGACGAUAAUGACGGUACCCGGAGCAGAAGCCCCGGCUAACUUCGUG
RNAcentral lists this ribosomal RNA (433 nucleotides) under uncultured bacterium. Its description in RNAcentral is "partial 16S ribosomal RNA". It matches the Rfam family "Bacterial small subunit ribosomal RNA", at positions 29 to 507 of the family's 1533-position model. The record is from RNAcentral.